This 4997-nucleotide long non-coding RNA is filed under the name Homo sapiens (human). Its description in RNAcentral is "HSALNT0053624". Lineage: Eukaryota; Metazoa; Chordata; Mammalia; Primates; Hominidae. The record is from RNAcentral.
CUCCCUGACCCCUUGCGCUUCCCAGGUGAGGCAAUGCCUCGGCCUGCUUCGGCUCGCGCACGGUGAGCGCACCCACUGGCCUGCGCCCACUGUCUGGCACUCCCUAGUGAGAUGAACCCGGUAUCUCAGAUGGAAAUGCAGAAAUCACCCGUCUUCUGCGUCGCUCACGCUGGGAGCUGUAGACCGGAAGCUGUUCCUAUUCGGCCAUCUUGGCUCCUGAAAAUCAGGUUUAUUUUUUAAUAAUGGCUGUGCUUUACAACAUAAGCUCUUGCAAGCCAAUAUGAACAGACUACAGUAUUUCACUGUGGCAGGCUGAAAGAAUGGCCCUCCAAAAAAAUAUUCACUUCCUAGUCCCCAGAAUCUAUGAAUACUACCUUAAAUGCAAAAGACUGAAUAGUAUUUUAUUUGGUGAAAGUGAUAUCUAAAAAUCCUGAGAGUAAACUCUUACCCUGGAUUAUGCGGGUGGGCCCUAAAUCUAAUAACAAGUGAAGUGUCCUUGUACGAGCAAGGCAAUGGGAGAUUCGACACAGACACACAUGGAGUGGAGAAGGCAAUGUGAAAACAGAGGUAGGGAUUGGAGCAAUGCAGCCACAAACCAAAAAAACAAAACAAGACCGAGUGCGGUGGCCCAUGCCUGUAAUCCUAGCACUUUGGGAGGCCAAGGCGGGUGGAUCAUCUGAGGUCGGGAGUUCAAAUCCAGCCUGACCAACAUGGAGAAACCCCAUCUCUACUAAAAAUACAAAAUUAGCCAGGUGUGGUGGCAUAUGCCUGUAGUCCCAGCUACUUGGGAGGCUGAGGCAGGAGAAUCACUUGAACCCGGGAGGUGGAGGUUGCAGUGAGCCGAGAUCUCACCAUUGCACUCCAGCCUGGGCAAUAAGAGUGAAACUCCAUCUCAAAACAAACAAACAAACAAACAAACAAAAAAGGAGGAAUGCCAGGCAGCCAGCACAUGCUAGAAGAAGCACGCGACAGAUUCUCUCCAGAGCCUCAGGUGGCAGCAUGAACCUGCCAACACCUUGAUUUCGACUUACCCCCAGAACUAUGGUUUUGAACCACCCCACUGGUGGAAGAUUGUCAAGGCAGCCUGAGGAAAUGGUUACGGGCCUGACGUUUCUUCUCACAUGGACCUCAGAUAUUUGCCUUGUCCUUAAGCAAACCAAAACCAAUGGCUGCCUUCUUUGCAGAGAUUUCUUCCUUUGGAUUAAAAGCUGGGUUAAAUCUCCUAUCCUUCCUAAGUCUUCCUAUCAGUCUCCAAACACUCCUUUUGGAGGGACUUACAUAGUUCAGAUUUUGCUAGAAUAAGCUGUUUGUUUAGUUCUCAAAUACACUGUAGAAUGAUUCCAUCACAAUUUCCAAAUUGCCUGGCAUUUUCAUAAACUCUGGAGAGGCUCCACCUUUUCCUUAACAGCAAAGACUUGAAAAAUGUUGUCCCUGGACCAGCAGUGCCAGUAGUACCUGGAACUUGACAGAAAUGCAGAUUCUUAGGCCACACCCCAGGCCCACUGAGUCAGAAACUCUGAGGGUGGGGCCCAGCAAUCUGUGUUUCAACAAGAUCUCCAGAUGAUUCUGAUGCUGGCUCAAGUUCGCAGCUGCAGCCACAAAUGGAUGGUUUCAGAGUCUGCUCAGGCUCUCAGACGCAGCAGCAGGCCAGGGGACCCAGGAUGAUGUCUGAGAGGUGGGGUGGGGCUAGCCCAGAGCUCCUGCACUGAGGAGGUUGCUCAGGGCUCCAAGCAUGUGAGCUGCACACUGCAGGAAUCAGAGCACAAGGAAGACACCAGCUCCUGCCAGGAGGGGCAGCCCCUCCAGCCUGGGUAGAGCCCUGCCGUCCAGAUGGCUCAGGCUAUGGGAACUUCUGCCCAUUCUUCCAACCGCGACUCUCGUCCAUCGGAGCACUCACUCUCUGGAUCAGCCACAACCUCUCUGGUGCCUUUGAAACACAGAGUGCCUGGGGGUGCAGACAGAGGAGGAUAAGCACUCAUGCUUCCUACUUCCACUCAGUUGAUAAUAGUCUGCCCAGCACGGGCCUACAGUAUGGCAGAAGUCAGUUAAACCUCAGACCACUGAGGCACGUGGGCUGGCUCCUCACAUCCCUCCAGCCUCAUGGGGGAUGAACGGGCCAAGGAGCUGCUUGGCUUCCUUCCAAUCUCCAGGCUCCCAACCCAACUCAGGGAACCCACAUCUGACAUUCCACUCAGGGUGGGGGCCGUGGCUAGGGGAGGAGGAGCAUCGCAUUCACCCCUCCAGGGGAGAGCCAUCGCCUGCAUCCUUGGCCAGGCCUUUCUGGACUUCAGGAUCCUUGUCUGCAGAACAAAGGGGUUUCAGCCAAGUCAGGAUGACUCAAAGUGCAUCUUGAGGAAUGCUGACAGACGUUACUUAACGCCUCUGUGCCUCAUCUGUAAAACAAAGAUAACAGCAACACAAAGGCCACAAAAAAACCAAAGGAAGGGCUCUUUGACAAAAUAAGUUUAGGAAGGGCUGCACUGAACAGGGCUCUGGCCUCAGGACCACAGAGCCUUCAGAUGCUGCUGUGGCCACAUCGCCAAGAUGCACCACACCCAGGGCCUCCACCUUGGAAACUUCUGAAGUCAAAGAUCUCAGGAUCCCUGAAGCAUCUGUCCAGCAUCACGGGAUGACAAGUGUCUCACUCCCACCUCUGGCUGAGUGUAGGUCUACCAGGCAGAAGGCAAAGCAGAGACUGUUAAACAGAAACUGGCUGAGGCCUAGAGGAACAGCAUCACUUGAUAAGGGUAUCCUUGGAAAGAACUGAGAACACAGGAAGAAGAGAGGAGAAAAGACAAAAAGUCAAAGUCAAAUAAACAUUGGUGACCUUAAGAGAAAUGCCUGAAAUCUCUAAAUCCAAACUCCCUUUUCCAAGGGCCUGAGUCUUGCCCAGGACACUUCUACAUUUCCACGCCCACUGAAUAUGCCAGGCAUGUUGGUUUAUUGCAGGCCCCUGUUACCUAUCUCCUACAUUAGGUUGUAAAAGAUCUAGCAAAAGGCACAGGGCCCAGAUGGUUUUAUGGGAGAGUGCUAUAAAACUUUUGAGGAAUAAAUGGUUCUUAUUUAAACUCUUACAAAGCAUUAAAAAGAUAAAAUAAAAUUCUGAAUUUAUUUUAUGAGGUAUGUUUAAAUUUAAUAGUAAGACAGCCAUGGAGUGCCCAAAAAGGAAAACCUUAUGAAUGUAUAUGCAAAGAUUCUAAGUAAAAUAUUGGCAAGUUAAAUUCUGCAGUUCCCAAAAUACUAACAUACCUCAGCCUAAUAGGUUUUUUCUGAGAAUGUAAAGAUUAUUCAGCAUUAGAAAAUAAAGGAGAAAAACUAUAUGCUCAAUAGAUAUUGAAAAGAGCAUUUAAUAAAAUUCAAUCCCCAUUCUUGAUUUUUGAAAAAUGGUUUUAGUAAGCUAAGAAUAAAAAGAAACUUCCUUAACUUAAUGAAAGAUAUUUAUCAGAAAUGAUUUCUUUAAACCUGACAAAACAUAAUAGAAACCACAGAGGUGUUCCCAUUAAAGUCCAGAAUAAGAUGUGGAUGCCUACUAUUGUUGCUAUUAUUACUCAAUUUUCCUCCAGAAAGCUCCCAACCUAAGUAAUAAGACAAUAGAAAUAAAUGAGAGGAGAACACACACACACUUAUGAAAUAUAAAUGUAAAAUUAUCAUUAUUUGAAAAUAUUAUUUUCUACUUAAAAACUAUAAGAUAUGCACCUAAAAUUCUAUCUAGAAAAAUCUAAUCAAGAAAAAGAACUCAUUCUCAAUAGGAGUAGAAAUUGCAAACUAUCUUUAAAAUGAGCUUAUUUGCUGAAGAAAACAUUAAAAUGUUACUAGAGGCCGGGUUCGGUGGCUCAUGCCUGUAAUCCCAGCACUUUGGAGGCUGGGAUGGGCAGAUGCUUUGAGCUCAAGAAUUCAAGACCAGCCUGGGCAAUAUGGCAAAAUCCCAUCUCUACAAAACAAUACAAAAAUUAGCUGGUCGCGGUGGUGUGCACUUGCCGUCCCAGCUACUCAGGAGGCUGAGGUGAGAGGAUCACUUGAGCCCAGGAGGUUGAGGCUGCAGUGAGCUGAGAUCUUGCCACUGUACUCCAGCCUGGGUGACAGAGUGAGACCCUGUCUCAAUAAACAAAAAAAUGUUGCUAGAGAUUAUCAAAGAAUAGGUGGAUUGAUAAACCUGAAUGAGAGCACUCAAUAUUCAAAUAAGUCAGAUUCCCACUAAUUAUAAAUUCUAUAUAAUCACAAUCAAAACACCAAUGGGAUUUUGAGGAUAAAAGGAGAGGGGUGGCAUGCUUCAUAGACUGACAUUAUCACAUGAAAGACAAAUGCACAAAAAUAGCAAAGGAAAAAACUAAAGUAGAAUAAAAAUAUGGGAACUCAGCCUACCAGACAGCAAAAAAGAAUAAAGUAACUUUAAUUAAAACACUGUCAUACUAAUGCAGGAACUGAAAAAUAAUAUCAGAACAGAGUUCACAAAUGGACCUCUGUGCAUGUGGGAACCUAAUAUCUGAUAAAAGUAUACUUUCACAGCAGUAAAGAAAGAAUGGACUAUGAAAUAAUGUUACAGCAACUAACUAUCCAUUUGAAGGGAAAUGAAACUUGUUAGAUCCCUAACUCACACCAUUCUCUGCUUAAAUCCAUAUAAAAUAUAGGUUUUAUAUAUUAAUUUAGAGGGAAUAUAUAUGAAAUAUAUGAAAAUAUAUAAGAAAUACUAUAUAAUAUAUAAGAAAUACUGUAUAAUACUAGAAUAAAACACAGAUUAUUUCAAUAAUCUUGAAGUGGUGACAGCCUUUCUAAGAAGGCAUGAAACUCAAAAGACUUAAAGGGAAGGAUAAACAAAUUUGACUACGUGGAAAUUAACAUUUUACACUUGGCAAAAGACUAUAAACAAAGUUAAGAGACAAAUUAGAGGCUGGAAGAAAACAUUUAUACCAAGUCAGCAGAGAAAAGAUUGAUCACACUUAUUAGAGUCAAAGAUUUCCAACAAAUUAACAAGCAAAGGGCAAACAUCUUAAAACAAA